UGGGGAAUUUUGGACAAUGGGCGAAAGCCUGAUCCAGCAAUGCCGCGUGUGUGAAGAAGGCCUUCGGGUUGUAAAGCACUUUUGUCCGGAAAGAAAUCCUUGGCUCUAAUACAGUCGGGGGAUGACGGUACCGGAAGAAUAAGCACCGGCUAACUACGUGCCAGCAGCCGCGGUAAUACGUAGGGUGCAAGCGUUAAUCGGAAUUACUGGGCGUAAAGCGUGCGCAGGCGGUUUGCUAAGACCGAUGUGAAAUCCCCGGGCUCAACCUGGGAACUGCAUUGGUGACUGGCAGGCUAGAGUAUGGCAGAGGGGGGUAGAAUUCCACGUGUAGCAGUGAAAUGCGUAGAGAUGUGGAGGAAUACCGAUGGCGAAGGCAGCCCCCUGGGCCAAUACUGACGCUCAUGCACGAAAGCGUGGGGGAGCAAAACAGGAUUAGAUACCCUGGUAGUCCACGCCCUAAAACGAUGUCAACUAGUUGUUGGGGAUUCAUUUCCUUAGUAACGUAGCUAACGCGUGAAGUUGACCGCCUGGGGAGUACGGUCGCAAGAUUAAAACUCAAAUGAAUUGACGGGGUCAUA
RNAcentral lists this ribosomal RNA (578 nucleotides) under uncultured bacterium. RNAcentral describes it as "partial 16S ribosomal RNA". It matches the Rfam family "Bacterial small subunit ribosomal RNA", at positions 355 to 923 of the family's 1533-position model. The record is from RNAcentral.